Molecule: ribosomal RNA, 421 nt
Filed under: uncultured bacterium
Lineage: Bacteria
Description: bacterial SSU rRNA
Rfam family: Bacterial small subunit ribosomal RNA
Source: RNAcentral
GGGGAAUAUUGGACAAUGGGCGAAAGCCUGAUCCAGCAAUGCCGCGUGAGUGAUGAAGGCCUUCGGGUUGUAAAGCUCUGUCGGGAGGGACGAAAAAGAGCGGGUAACGCCGCGACUUGACGGUACCUCCAAAGGAAGCACCGGCUAACUCUGUGCCAGCAGCCGCGGUAAUACAGAGGGUGCAAGCGUUGUUCGGAAUUACUGGGCGUAAAGCGCGUGUAGGCGGCAGGAUAAGUCGGGUGUGAAAGCCCUCAGCUCAACUGAGGAAGUGCACUCGAUACUGUUCUGCUUGAGUGUCGGAGGGGGUGGCGGAAUUCCCGGUGUAGAGGUGAAAUUCGUAGAUAUCGGGAGGAACACCUGUGGCGAAGGCGGCCACCUGGACGACAACUGACGCUGAGACGCGAAAGCGUGGGUAGCAAAC